RNAcentral lists this ribosomal RNA (407 nucleotides) under uncultured bacterium. RNAcentral's name for it is "partial 16S ribosomal RNA". It matches the Rfam family "Bacterial small subunit ribosomal RNA", at positions 30 to 526 of the family's 1533-position model. The record is from RNAcentral.
AUUGAACGCUGGCGGCAGGCCUAACACAUGCAAGUCGAGCGGAGUGACGGACGGAUGAGUAAUGCCUAGGAAUCUGCCUGGUAGUGGGGGAUCACGUCCGGAAACGGGCGCUAAUACCGCAUCCUAUCAUAUGAGCCUAUGUCGGAUUAGCUAGUUGGUGGGGUAAAGGCCUACAAAGGCGACGAUCCGUAAGUGGGCUGAGCGGAUGAUCAGUCACACUGGAACUGAGACACGGUCCAGACUGCUACGGGAGGCAGAGGUGGGGAAUAUUGGACAAUGGGCGAAAGCCUGAACCAGCCAUGCCGCGUGUGUGAAGAAGGGCUUCGGAUUGUAAAGCACGUUAAGUUGGGAGGCGUUACGAACAGAAUAAGCACCGGCUAACUUCGUGCCAGCAGCCGCGGUAAUUC